GUGGGAAGUUGUAUAAAACGAGGAAACUGGUUAAUUAGGGUUCGAUAAACAGAUUGCAGGACCCUUUUACACUUUGACAAGUACAAAUACAAGUACUUUGACAAGUUUUACAUUUUGACUGGUAUUGAUAUAAGUAGCCUUGGUAAAAAAUUAUUUUCAGUUUGAGUACAUAAAAAACAAAAUAAAAUUCAUUAUAUUAUACAUUUCGUUAUAUUACAUAACAUGAAGUAGGAAUUUUAAAAUAAAAUAGUAAAAUCAGUCAAUUUGACUGGUGUGGUAGUUGUGCUAUUAUCCUACUUUCACUGUAGAUGGCGAAAUGAUUGAACAGUUGUGUCCACCGAACGAUGCCAUAAUACCUGGUCGACCUUUUAAAUUAAGAGCAAGUUGUCGAUAGUUUCGUAAUGGUGGCUAAUGGUGUUGACGACAGGUGUGAUGACGAAGCAGUGACAUGUUUGAGGAGGCUAGCGUUCGAAGCAAAGUGACGAUGGAAUAAUCUUCGUCUGAUUUAUCGUGUUGGUAGGACGUGCAGCGAUAAAAACGUUGACUGAAAAUUUGAUCCUCCAGUGGUUCGCUGUUCUCAAUACGAUCGCUUUCUAUAUAUCGCGCGACGAGUCGCAAUCGAAAUCGAAAUCGAAGAUCACGCCGUCCCGUAUAACCGAGAUUAUCUACGAGUGUUCGGGUAGAAUGGCCAAGGAAGCAAUUUAGCUGUCCUUUUGAAAGCCGGAUCGUGGAAAACGAACUUCCAACACGAUUAACGAUAAUUUGUGAUCGACAGUGGAGUUGCCGAGAUUUUGCGACGACGUAGCAGCGCAUGAUGUAGCACAGAUUACAUAAUCAUAAGAUACGUAAGUGAAGAAUUAUGCGAAGAUCUCGAUUGUUUCGACGUACCACUUUUAGGCGCUGUCUUAUCCGCACUUUGCAUCGAAACACACAUCGCCGAUGAUCGUAAGCAGUUUAUACGCUAAAGAGUUUUUGACUCGUCGAUUUAAUUAAAUUGAAAAAGAAUUUAACCCUUUGCACUCGAGGGGCGAUUCUCGUCCACAUCGUAACCGUGUGGCAAAUCGAGAGGAGAAUGAGAGGCGACAGUCCCUGUUUAUGAGAGCGCAGUAUUGGUUCAUAAAUAGAUUCCUUAGCUCUUUAUAUUGUUUGUUAUGAAGUGUGAAGCGUUACAGUUUAAGAUGCAGGUGAAAUAUUUAUGCUCAAAUUCUGACGAAACUAUUGUUCUGUAAACGUUAAUUCAGAUUCGACGACCGUGGUACAAGUAUUAUAGUUUCGUAAAUUUAAAAGCUCCAAAAAAUGGAUUUGGAAAUUUGUUUAAUUAAUUCAUAUAUCCUGUAAAAAAGCAAAAGAACGAAGGGCCAUUUAACCACCUGCGAGUUAUAAAACCUUUUUUUCCAAAAGUAUACCAGUUGAGAGGAGAAAUUCGAUUAAAUGGAAAGCUGUAUGUAAUUUUAACAGGAAGAAAGAAGGAUUGUAAGGUGUGUUCUUACCGAAACAAAGCAGGAGAAAGACACGAAAUAACUUAUUAUUGCGAUACUUGUACCGAGAAGCAAAGAAUGCAUCUUGCCAGAUAUUUUACAAAUUAUCGUAAAAGUACAGAAAAAUAUUAAAAAGCGAUA
Molecule: long non-coding RNA, 1619 nt
Organism: Bombus terrestris (buff-tailed bumblebee)
Lineage: Eukaryota; Metazoa; Arthropoda; Insecta; Hymenoptera; Apidae
Exons: 3
Source: RefSeq, a predicted model, not a curated record